Pezoporus occidentalis (night parrot) is the source of this 841-nucleotide long non-coding RNA. RefSeq lists it as uncharacterized. The record is from RefSeq and is a predicted model, not a curated record. NCBI's taxonomy places the organism in Eukaryota, Metazoa, Chordata, Aves, Psittaciformes, Psittacidae. The transcript has 3 exons.
CUGCAACAGAGUUUGUUCAAUUCCAGAGAUCAGAAUGGACUGAAACCACUGUGUCCUCAGUGACAAUAUAGCCAAGUGCAUUAUUUUUAAAACAUUUAAAGGAAAAAGAGAAAACACUACAUGGAACUCCGCUGUCUGUUCCAGAAGAAAAGUGGAAAAUAAAAAGUUACUUGAGAUUCUCAUCCCUGCAUUUCCAGCCCUUUAAAAUGACUGAUUCAAGUAGUGAGCCCAGCAGUGUGUGUGUGCUGGUGCAGAGACUCUGUAUCAAAGUGAUGCUGCUCUUCAAAGACCCUCCUUCAUGUGAGCCCUGCAUAGCAGGACAAAUCUUGCUGUUUUAGUGAUUGCUGCAGUGACAAAAGAAGCAAAGCUAGAGAAUCUGGAUACAGCUCUCUGCUCUGAAGAGGGAACUGGCACAAUUACCCCAAGAUGUUUGAACUAGUUAUUGUUCAUCCUAAUGCAUGUACAUUUCCCUUACCUCAGUAAUUUCCAGGCAAAUACUACCUGUGUAUCAAUCACUAGAGAUGAAUUUUGCACACAAGUCCCUUCAGCAUUCCUUUUUUUAAUUUAUUUUAUUUUAACAGCUCUUCAUUUAAACACCACCAGAAAGAGCUCAAAGCAGUGUAACUGACAAACCCGACACCUUUGUGUAAAAAAGCACUGCAAAAAUAGAAACCACAAACCCAACAAGUUCUGUUCCCUGCACCAGCGUCAGUCAAACUGAGUAAUACAUUAGGCUUGCUAAGUCUCUGCUGCCCAUUUCUGCUAUGGACCUUAAUCUGUGGUCUUUGUCUCAGUUACCAAGAAGUAGUCCCUGAUUGCCAAAUAACAAAGAUGAUGAGUA